AAUAGAUACCCUGGUAGUCCACGCCGUAAACGAUGUCGACUUGGAGGUUGUUCCCUUGAGGAGUGGCUUCCGGAGCUAACGCGUUAAGUCGACCGCCUGGGGAGUACGGCCGCAAGGUUAAAACUCAAAUGAAUUGACGGGGGCCCGCACAAGCGGUGGAGCAUGUGGUUUAAUUCGAUGCAACGCGAAGAACCUUACCUACUCUUGACAUCCAGAGAACUUAGCAGAGAUGCUUUGGUGCCUUCGGGAACUCUGAGACAGGUGCUGCAUGGCUGUCGUCAGCUCGUGUUGUGAAAUGUUGGGUUAAGUCCCGCAACGAGCGCAACCCUUAUCCUUUGUUGCCAGCGGUUCGGCCGGGAACUCAAAGGAGACUGCCAGUGAUAAACUGGAGGAAGGUGGGGAUGACGUCAAGUCAUCAUGGCCCUUACGAGUAGGGCUACACACGUGCUACAAUGGCAUAUACAAAGAGAAGCGACCUCGCGAGAGCAAGCGGACCUCAUAAAGUAUGUCGUAGUCCGGAUUGGAGU
Molecule: ribosomal RNA, 527 nt
Filed under: uncultured bacterium
Lineage: Bacteria
Description: bacterial SSU rRNA
Rfam family: Bacterial small subunit ribosomal RNA
Source: RNAcentral